GACGAACACUGGCGGCGUGCCUAAUACAUGCAAGUAGAACGCUGAAGCUUGGUGCUUGCACCGAGCGGAUGAGUUGCGAACGGGUGAGUAACGCGUAGGUAACCUGCCUGGUAGCGGGGGAUAACUAUUGGAAACGAUAGCUAAUACCGCAUAAAAUGGAUUAUCGCAUGAUAAUUCAUUGAAAGGUGCAAAUGCAUCACUACCAGAUGGACCUGCGUUGUAUUAGCUAGUUGGUGGGGUAACGGCUCACCAAGGCGACGAUACAUAGCCGACCUGAGAGGGUGAUCGGCCACACUGGGACUGAGACACGGCCCAGACUCCUACGGGAGGCAGCAGUAGGGAAUCUUCGGCAAUGGACGGAAGUCUGACCGAGCAACGCCGCGUGAGUGAAGAAGGUUUUCGGAUCGUAAAGCUCUGUUGUAAGAGAAGAACGAGUGUGAGAGUGGAAAGUUCA
RNAcentral lists this ribosomal RNA (454 nucleotides) under Streptococcus sp. oral taxon 070. RNAcentral describes it as "bacterial SSU rRNA". It matches the Rfam family "Bacterial small subunit ribosomal RNA", at positions 28 to 466 of the family's 1533-position model. Lineage: Bacteria; Bacillati; Bacillota; Bacilli; Lactobacillales; Streptococcaceae. The record is from RNAcentral.